This 2160-nucleotide long non-coding RNA is filed under the name Gossypium barbadense (sea-island cotton). Its description in RNAcentral is "long non-coding RNA (GBAR_LNC000839)". The record is from RNAcentral. Lineage: Eukaryota; Viridiplantae; Streptophyta; Magnoliopsida; Malvales; Malvaceae.
ACACAUAUAGUUUAACUAUUAAUAAACACUACAUUUAAAAGGGAACCAUAACAUAUAUUUACAUGAUGAUCCCACAUUACAUAAAGUGUCUAUACAUGCCAUAAAAUUUCGGAACACUAGUAGUAAAAUACCCCAAAUGUGAAGGAUAGUGUAGAUGAUUGUCUGACUUCGUUCCAAUUUCCGAGUUGUUGGAAGUCACUAUAACCAAGAGAAAAAUAAAAUCGAGUAAGCAUAUAGCUUAGUAAGUAAACACAUGAUAAAUAAGUAAUUACUCCCAUAACUACACCAAAAUAUAAACUUAUUCAUGAAUAACUUUAUUGUUUAGGCAAUUUCCAGCAAGUUGUUUUUCUGCGUCAUAGUCGCUAAUUUAUUUUUAUCUGGAGCUACAGGGCUCCAAAUUGAGUUUCGUAAAUUUUCCCUGAAACUAGACUCAUAUACCAUUUCACCAUAAAAAUUUCAGAAUUUUUAACCCAGCCAAUUAGUACAGUUUAUUCAUUAAACCUUCCCCUGUUUCACUGCCCAACGGUUCUGACCCUUCCUCACUAAAAUUUACUUAACUCUCUGUACAAAAUUUGAAAAAUGGUUUUUCUUGUUUAUAAUAAAAAUAGACUCAAUAAGGAUUCCAGGGAUAUAAAUUUCAUGCCACAAUUAUUUUUUUACAAUUUUUGGUAAUUUUCCAAAAUUAGAACAGGGGAUCUCGAAAUCAAUCCAGCCCUGUUUCAGUAAAAUUCAGAUAUCUCCAAAAAUACAACUCUUUUGCUUAUUCUAUUUCUUUCAUAUGAAAAUAGACACAUUCAGCUUCAAUUUCAUAUAUUAUUCAACUUCCCAUUCAUUUUCCACCAUUUAUGGUGAUUUUUCAAAGUUACCCAACUGCUGUUGUUCAACACAGUUUAUAAUUAAAUCGUUCCUUUUGCGUUUUUGAUAUUUUCUCCCAUCUCAUACAUGGGUCGAUUUAGUAUUCAACUCAAUAUUUACCCCAUAAAAUUUUCCACCAUAUGGAAAUAUUCAUCUUCCACACUUUUUCGUUGAACACUUGGAAUGUUAACCGUUAUUGGUGGAUCUCGCACUUAGCACCACCGCUGAAUCGGGGAAUCAGCACUUAGCAACCCCUCGGGGGAAUCAGCACAUAGCAACCCCCUUUCACAUUUCAAAGAUAUGGUGGAUAUCGCACUUAGCACCACCAAUGAACCGGGGAAUCAGCACUUAGCAACCCCUCGGGGGAAUCAGCACAUAGCAACCCCCUUUUCACAUUUCAAAGAUAUGGUGGAUCACGCACAUAGCACCACCAAUGAAUCGAGGAAUCAGCACACAGCAACCCCUUUAUAUACAACAUACUCCGGCUUAUUCCGAGUGUUCAACCCAUAAACCAUAUAUUGCAACCCUUUACCACCUUUCCCGAUUUAACAACAUUUUUAGGAUAUGGCCAAACAUUUAUUUUAAUUCCAAAUAAAUCUCAACAUAUAUCAAAUAAUAUCAAAAUAAUACAUUAAGUCACGUGUUUACUUACCUCGGUGCAAAAUAUCGUAAUUUUGCACUUUACUCCCCUAUCUUUUCUUUUCCCCGUUUGAUAUACUCUUCACGUCUUUCUUGAUCUAUAAUAGCAAAUUUAACUCAUUUAAUGUUCACACUCAUUAAAAUAAUCCACCACCCAACUUUUUGAAAAAUUACAAUUUUGCCCCCAAACUUUUGCGUAAUUACACUUUUGUCCCCAAGCUCGGAAAUUAAACUUCAUCACUUAUUCUUAAGUUUUAUAACAUGCUGAACAUUUUUCCCUUCUAUGGAAACAUCAAAUUCCCACUCCAACACAUACUUUUGAAUAUUAAUUAUUUUUACCGAUUAUGUCUAUUUACCCGUUUUCGCUUAAAAUUGCUUAGCAAAAGUUGUUUAACAUAAUUUAUAGCUUCAUAUUCCACCAUAAAACAGCAAAAUAAACACAUUUCACCUAUGGGUAUUUUUCCAAAUAUGAGCCCUAACACGAAUUAUUGCUAGAAUAAGCUAAACCGAGUUACGAGGAUUCCAAAAAUGCGAAGAACAUUAAAAACGGGGCUAGGAUGCACUUACUAUGAGCUUGAGAAAGCAAAGAAACCUUAGCUAUGACUUCCUUCAAAUUUCGGCAGCAACUAAUGAGGAAGAUGAUGAUUUUUGUCAUCUUUUUCCCAU